AUACGUAUGGUCCGAGCGUUGUCCGGAAUAACUGGGCGUAAAGGGCGCGUAGGCGGUUUUACAAGUCUGGUGUGAAAGAUCUCAGCUUAACUGAGGGACCGCGCUGGAAACUGUAAGACUAGAAUCUAGGAGGGGAAGCUGGAAUUCCUGGUGUAGGGGUGAAAUCUGUAGAUAUCAGGAAGAACACCGGUGGCGAAGGCGAGCUUCUGGCCAUAGAUUGACGCUGAGGCGCGAAAGCGUGGGGAGCGAACAGGAUUAGAAACCCCAGUAGUCC
Molecule: ribosomal RNA, 274 nt
Filed under: uncultured bacterium
Lineage: Bacteria
Description: partial 16S ribosomal RNA
Rfam family: Bacterial small subunit ribosomal RNA
Source: RNAcentral